UAGUGUUACAGCUCUUUUAGAAUUUGUCUAACGGGGGGACCAGCAGUUAGCGUAAUGGCUAUGUCGCUGGACACCCAC
Molecule: small nuclear RNA, 78 nt
Filed under: Tupaia belangeri chinensis (Chinese tree shrew)
Lineage: Eukaryota; Metazoa; Chordata; Mammalia; Scandentia; Tupaiidae
Description: Tupaia chinensis (Chinese tree shrew) U7 small nuclear RNA
Rfam family: U7 small nuclear RNA
About the family: Animal histone pre-mRNAs are spliced by a different mechanism than nuclear pre-mRNAs and self-splicing introns. This processing involves the U7 snRNP, which contains only one RNA species: U7.
Source: Rfam by way of RNAcentral